RNAcentral lists this ribosomal RNA (516 nucleotides) under uncultured microorganism. Its description in RNAcentral is "bacterial SSU rRNA". It matches the Rfam family "Bacterial small subunit ribosomal RNA", at positions 250 to 783 of the family's 1533-position model. The record is from RNAcentral.
UGGUGAGGUAACGGCUCACCAAGGCGACGAUGCGUAGCCGACCUGAGAGGGUGAUCGGCCACAUUGGAACUGAGACACGGUCCAGACUCCUACGGGAGGCAGCAGUGGGGAAUAUUGCACAAUGGGCGAAAGCCUGAUGCAGCAACGCCGCGUGAGUGAUGAAGGCUUUCGAGUCGUAAAGCUCUUUGAUCAGGGAUGAUAAUGACAGUACCUGAAAAACAAGCCACGGCUAACUACGUGCCAGCAGCCGCGGUAAUACGUAGGUGGCGAGCGUUGUCCGGAAUUACUGGGCGUAAAGGAUGCGUAGGUGGAUAUUUAAGUGGGAUGUGAAAUCCCCGGGCUCAACCCGGGAACUGCAUUCCAAACUGGAUAUCUAGAGUGCAGGAGAGGAAAGCGGAAUUCCUAGUGUAGCGGUGAAAUGCGCAGAUAUUAGGAGGAACACCAGUGGCGAAGGCGGCUUUCUGGACUGUAACUGACACUGAGGCAUGAAAGCGUGGGUAGCAAACAGGAUUAGAU